RNAcentral lists this ribosomal RNA (407 nucleotides) under uncultured bacterium. RNAcentral's name for it is "bacterial SSU rRNA". It matches the Rfam family "Bacterial small subunit ribosomal RNA", at positions 509 to 916 of the family's 1533-position model. The record is from RNAcentral.
CAGCAGCCGCGGUAAUACGAAGGGGGCUAGCGUUGCUCGGAAUUACUGGGCGUAAAGGGAGCGUAGGCGGACAUUUAAGUCAGGGGUGAAAUCCCAGAGCUCAACUCUGGAACUGCCUUUGAUACUGGGUGUCUUGAGUGUGAUAGAGGUAUGUGGAACUCCGAGUGUAGAGGUGAAAUUCGUAGAUAUUCGGAAGAACACCAGUGGCGAAGGCGACAUACUGGAUCAUUACUGACGCUGAGGCUCGAAAGCGUGGGGAGCAAACAGGAUUAGAUACCCUGGUAGUCCACGCUGUAAACGAUGAGUGCUAGUUGUCGGCAUGCAUGCAUGUCGGUGACGCAGCUAACGCAUUAAGCACUCCGCCUGGGGAGUACGGUCGCAAGAUUAAAACUCAAAGGAAUUGACGG